GAAAUUCUCAAUAUGUUCAUAGCUCUUAUAUUUAAAGAAAACAUAUACUUAUCAUGCUUACUCCAUUCACCCUUUGUCUUUGGCACAUGCUCACCAUCUACUACUUUGAUAGGAAUGAAGGGACUAUUUUCAAUUAUAUCCUAUAAAUCCACUCCUUCUGAUUUAAGGAAGUAGUACAUCAUGUUCUUUCAAUAGAGAAAAUCAUGUCCAUCAAAGAAAGGGAG
Molecule: unclassified non-coding RNA, 224 nt
Filed under: Hevea brasiliensis (rubber tree)
Lineage: Eukaryota; Viridiplantae; Streptophyta; Magnoliopsida; Malpighiales; Euphorbiaceae
Source: RNAcentral